CACAGUCCGAAUCAGCAAGGCAAAGGGUAAAUCCAAGACAGGCUAUAAACUUCAGGGCAGGCAGAAAUCAGACAGGACGAGAUAACAGGCUACGAUCAAGACACGGGAAAACAGACUAUGAAC
Long non-coding RNA from Sinocyclocheilus anshuiensis, 123 nucleotides. RefSeq lists it as uncharacterized. Lineage: Eukaryota; Metazoa; Chordata; Actinopteri; Cypriniformes; Cyprinidae. The transcript has 3 exons. The record is from RefSeq and is a predicted model, not a curated record.